CCAGGCUUCCCUCCACAUCUGAGCUAGUGGAGGGGAGGGGCGUGCAGGAGAGAAUACGCUCCGCUAACCAGGCAGCAGGGCUGCUGGUGCUACGGGGGCCAGGUGUGAACCAGUCCUGGACUCCAGGCUGGAAGUGAGCCUGGCUCCCCUUUAUUUAUAUGGAGAACAUUUUACCUGUUUUGUACAUUUUUAAAGGGCUGUCAGGGAAGCCUGGAUGCCCCUCAUAGCCACAUCAGCCGUUGGGGAAGCUCAGGACGUCAGGGAAGGAAGGACGAAGCAGCGAUGGAGGGCUUCAGUGUUGAAGCCAGAUGAUCCUUGGAUUUGCUCAGAUUUGGGUGUUGCUCAGAGGCCAGUGGGGAACAGAUGGGGCCAGGGUGUAGUUCAGAUGCUUCUAGCAGCAGGCUUGGCCCUAGCUUCCAUAUCUGACAGAGGUGAUCAGUACCCUGGGCAUAGGCAAGGUUUCAGCUCUGAGACCUCCUAGGAGCCGAGGGAAGCUGGUGCACCUUGGGAAAGCCCCACUUCCCAUUGUGCCCGGCACUUUUGGUGAUGUUUACUAUGCACAUCUCCGGCGGAGGCUACAGAGCUUCCGGUAGACUUAGUGCUUGGUGGCCCCUAGGAUCUGGGCUUGGGGCACAGGGCCUAGGACCCCAGCGUCUACCAGCUUGUACUCCUCAACCUUGCUGUGUUUUAUGGCUGCUCCUUGCCUAUUGUGACCCUUCUGCCUUUAAGUUCACGUCACUGGAAUUUCUUAGUGACACUCUGGAAAAGAGGCCUCAACCUUAGGGGUGAACACCAAGCCCUCCUUAGGGACUCACUAGACCGAGCUACUUCUAAAGAAGCCAUGGACUAUAUUCUUCCACAAUGCUCCGCCUAUCCCAGUCUGCUCUGGUUAGCCUUUCCCCUGUGGGGAUGUUGUCCCCAAUGGAUGUCCUGUGUGACCACUCCCUGUCCUUGCCUGGUGACACAGCCCUCAGGCACGCUGGUGCUUAACUCUACCUCUUGCCCUCAGGGUCCUGGCUAUAACAGGAGCCAUGACCCCUUGCUGGGGACCUCUUAGUGCACAUUUCCUAAGACCAUCUUUGCCAUGGAUGUUACUAGGGCACUGGUAGACACUGCGCCAGCCUGCAGUUCUGGGAGAUUGGGUUAAUGCCUGUAGUGGGGGACAGGGCUGUGGUUGUGGGAACUGCCUGAUAAGCAGUGGCCCCUGGGACCCUGGCCCAGAGGCUGGAUACAAUCAAGCAUCACCUUCCCCCACCAGUCCUGUUGUUGUUGACAGAGACCUUUUCUCUGGAGUCGCGAAUAGAAUGGUAUAGACUGUGAGGACUUGGAUUGGCCUGCGUGCACACCAUCAACACUACACUUGCUGCUGUGGACUCCACCAUUCCUGGUUCUUUGUUCUUACUUCUUUGUACAGUAAAUGUACUUCAGCAGUGA
RNAcentral lists this long non-coding RNA (1434 nucleotides) under Rattus norvegicus (Norway rat). Its description in RNAcentral is "long non-coding RNA NONRATT005302". The record is from RNAcentral. Lineage: Eukaryota; Metazoa; Chordata; Mammalia; Rodentia; Muridae.